Molecule: long non-coding RNA, 623 nt
Organism: Anneissia japonica
Lineage: Eukaryota; Metazoa; Echinodermata; Crinoidea; Comatulida; Comatulidae
Exons: 2
Source: RefSeq, a predicted model, not a curated record
UGUACUAUUUUAUUAAGUAAUAAUUCUAAAAAAUGUUAAAUUAUGGUUUGUUUUACAGCUUUGUUCUACUUUAUUUCAUUGACAGAGCCCAGUCAUCAAUGGUGACCUCAUCAGCAUGGGAUAUGAUAAUAAACCAUUAUACCCUGGCAGACCUGGUCCCUAAAAGGAGAGUUGUAAAUGCAAUUGGUUAAAUGAAAGAACACCCAGAAACUUCUACUGAUAUCAACCAUGUUUAUAUUUGGAAAAGAAUAUUGAACUGUAAACCAAAAAGAUGCCUGUGUUAAGUGUUACGAUCCUACUGUCACUAAUCAUACUUAGUGUUUAUAAGCUUUGCUGCAAAUCUACACAGACUGAUGCCAGUCCUGAAAUUACAGCCUAUGAUAUAAAUGAAGAUAUUACAUCAGCUUAUCAAAAAGAAGUACUGUACAUUAUUUAGGGAAUUCAAACAAGCGAAGUGUCUUGUCCAAGAACCCAGGCAAUGUACACAGCAUGUGUCCUUGUACAAGACACUAGAUCUUGGCUUGUAUCUCUCUCUCUCUCUCUCUAUCCAGGUGUAUAAAGCAAUAUAAAUGAUGUUCCUAUAGUAAAACAAUGUUAAUAAAGUGUCUUUUCAUUGCUGUCGA